Long non-coding RNA from Neoarius graeffei (lesser salmon catfish), 641 nucleotides. RefSeq lists it as uncharacterized. The transcript has 3 exons. NCBI's taxonomy places the organism in Eukaryota, Metazoa, Chordata, Actinopteri, Siluriformes, Ariidae. The record is from RefSeq and is a predicted model, not a curated record.
UGAAAACAAACCAAUUUUCAGUGACCAGACAUGAAAAAGUAGCCAAUGGGCUGAUUGGAGAUCAGGGUCUGCCUGGUGUAUUUGUGCUGUAUGAGCUCUCACCCAUGAUGGUCAAAUUCACAGAGAAACAGCGGUCAUUCACUCACUUUCUAACAGGAAUCUGUGCUAUUAUAGGUGGCGUUUUCACAGUUGCUGGACUCAUCGAUUCUUUAAUAUACCACUCAGCAAGAGCUAUACAGAAGAAGAUUGAGUUGGGAAAAGCUUCCUAGCUAGGUCUCUGAAACUACUAUGAACAAUUGUGUGACACCUGUAUCUGCUGAAAGAGGGAAUGUCUAGCUGUUUGUGCGCGUGUUUGGCCAUCAAGAACACUUCUUUGACACAAGGCCUCACCAUUGGACACACACGGGUACCUCAUAGGCUUGGGAGACUUUCACCAACUAACUGGACUUCAUAAGUAACUGGACACCUCAAGGGUUCAUUAUAACAGUGAGGUACAAAUGAAUAAAAUGUAAGCACAUGAAAUUGAAAAAUACAUGUAGUACAGCAAGUAUUGUUAGUUAAAUUAGCUAAUGUCACUGAAUGCAAUGCAGAGCUAUUGUUUACAAUCCCAAUUCCAAAAAAGUUGGGACACUGUGUAAAAC